Molecule: ribosomal RNA, 431 nt
Filed under: uncultured bacterium
Lineage: Bacteria
Description: partial 16S ribosomal RNA
Rfam family: Bacterial small subunit ribosomal RNA
Source: RNAcentral
AACGAACGCUGGCGGCAGGCUUAACACAUGCAAGUCGAACGCCCCGCCAGGGGAGUGGCAGACGGGUGAGUAACGCGUGGGAACAUACCCUUUCCUGCGGAAUAGCUCCGGGAAACUGGAAUUAAUACCGCAUACGCCCUACGGGGGAAAGAUUUAUCGGGGAAGGAUUGGCCCGCGUUGGAUUAGCUAGUUGGUGGGGUAAAGGCCUACCAAGGCGACGAUCCAUAGCUGGUCUGAGAGGAUGAUCAGCCACAUUGGGACUGAGACACGGCCCAAACUCCUACGGGAGGCAGCAGUGGGGAAUAUUGGACAAUGGGCGCAAGCCUGAGCCAGCCAUGCCGCGUGAGUGAUGAAGGCCUUAGGGUUGUAAAGCUCUUUCACCGAUGAAGAUAAUGACGGUAGUCGGAGAAGAAGCCCCGGCUAACUUCGUG